CUGCAGUAGCGGCUUCUGCGGCUCCAAGCCAGCGGGUCCUGUGAAGGCGAGCAGACGCGGAGAAAGGACGCGGGAGUGAGAGAGGCUGUACAGUUUUGGUGUUCAUCUUAGAGGAUUCUUCAGCAGAAGUGAUAUUUCUUUACUGUUUUGUGAGGUAAUACUGAUUUUGAAAAUAUAUAUAAGCUAAAAACAGUAUUUCGUUGAUAUCAGUAGUCAUUGUGUUAACUAUAAAGUCAAGUGCCAGCAAAGAACUUUAAAACUGUAAAGCUGUGUAUAGAACUGUUUUGUGUAGCAUGGAAAUAUUCUGUCAGCUUUUUAAAGUCACUAAAUGUUCUUGAUUAUCAGCUUGAAGGUAUUUUUGUAUUACAAGUUGACAGUUGCUGGGUGUAGUGGCUCAUGCCUGUAAUCCUAGCAACUCGGGGCUGAGGUGGGAGGAUUGCUUCAGCCCAGGAGUUUGAGACCAGCCUGGGCAACAUAGCAAAACCCCAUCUCUACAAAAAUAAAAAAUAUGUCUGGGCAUGGUGGCCCAAGUCUGAGUCCCAGUUACUUGGGAGGAUCACUUGAAUGUAGGAUCACUUGAGUCUAGGAGUUCGGGGCUGCAGCUAUCAUCUGCAGCUAUAAUCAUAGCUCACUGCAGCUAUGAUCAUGUCUCAGCACUCCAGCUUUGGCAACAGAACGAGAUCCCAUCUCUUAGAAAAACAAAGUUGAUAGUUAAAGAACAUAAGUGGAUGAUGGCAUUUGAGGCCACUAGUGAAAGUAUGUUUUCUCUAAAAUAUUUCUCUAAUAGUGAUAUAAAUGGCUAUUUUAUUAUGAUGUUUGUAUGUGUUUUGUAUUUCUCUGUAAACCAUGCUCCAGUCUUUGUUUUUCUGUUACCAUAAUGUAAGAGAAGGUCCUGGAACAGAGACUAAAUCCCACGAAACUGACAUUGUUAAACACACUAAAACAGAAGUACUUACCUCUUGAAGAUUUAAUAUAUAAUGGUUGACAUGAUACAUGUACAUGAUGAAUGACCAGAUGCUUAUGGUCUACAUUUUCCUUUAUCCUGUUAGUAUUACCUUCCUUAAUCUUUGUUCAUUAACAUGCUAAUUCCUCUUCAGUGUUUAUUUUCUAGUGACAGAAUGCUAACAUUUCUUACACCCUGGCAGAAGGGAGAGAAAUGUGUUUUGGGGUGGGUAACUAAAUUUUUGAGUGAAAUAUCAUAAGAUGAGAAUGGAAAGAGGGAGACACAAAGAGUUAUAACAAAAAAACAAUGGUUUUUUUAGCCAUUUGACUGGCUCUUUAAAUAGUCUACAAGACAUUCACGUUUAACAUCACUUUUAGUGAAAUAAAAUGUGCCAUACUAGUAUGUGCUUCAAAAGGGCAAAUGUGCUUUAGUGCCCUAAGGCUAAAUUUUGGUCAUUUGACAUCAGAGAUGUUGUAAGUAUUGCACUUAAUACGCACCUAUUUCUCAAUAGUGUUAUUUUUUGGCUAGCAUUUUCUUUACCACUAUCUUGUUGAUAGCUUUUUGUUCUCUAAGGUUGAAACAUGACAGUGCUUAUCUCAAACAGAUUACCCAUCUGCAGAACUAAGGAAAGCAAUUUAUGUAUGAAAGAAAUUCUUGAAUUCGUCAUUCUCAACCUUUGAAUUAAAGCUUAGACUAAAUAGUAAUAUAUCGUGGGAAGGAUUUUGGUUUUGUGAUAUUUCUGUGAAUUAAGGAAUAGAUGUUAACCAUUAUUUUGUAGAAAAGUGAUUUGUAU
This 1736-nucleotide long non-coding RNA is filed under the name Homo sapiens (human). RNAcentral describes it as "non-protein coding lnc-KBTBD6-2:1". The record is from RNAcentral. Lineage: Eukaryota; Metazoa; Chordata; Mammalia; Primates; Hominidae.